CCAACAGGGAUUGCCUCAGUAACGGCGAGUGAAGCGGCAACAGCUCAAAUUUGAAAUCUGGCCCUAGGCCCGAGUUGUAAUUUGCAGAGGAUGCUUCUGGCGCGGUGCCUUCCAAGUCCCCUGGAACGGGGCGCCAUAGAGGGUGAGAGCCCCGUCUGGUUGGCCGCCAAGCCUGUGUGAAGCUCCUUCGACGAGUCGAGUAGUUUGGGAAUGCUGCUCUAAAUGGGAGGUAGACCCCUUCUAAAGCUAAAUACCGGCCAGAGACCGAUAGCGCACAAGUAGAGUGAUCGAAAGAUGAAAAGCACUUUGAAAAGAGGGUUAAACAGUACGUGAAAUUGUUGAAAGGGAAGCGCUUGUGACCAGACGUGCGUCGGGGUGUUCAGCGGGCGUUCUCGCCCGUGCACUCGCCCCGGCGCAGGCCAGCGUCGGUUCGGGCGGGGGGACAAAGGCGCCGGGAACGUAGCUCCUCCGGGAGUGUUAUAUCCCGGCGUGCCAUGCCCCCGCCUGGACCGAGGUUCGCGCUCCGCAAGGACGCUGGCGUAAUGGUCCCCAGCGGCCCGUCUUGAAACACGGACCAAGGAGUCGAGGUUUUGCGCGAGUGUUUGGGUGUCAAACCCGCACGCGUAAUGAAAGUGAACGCAGGUGGGAGCUUCGGCGCACCACCGACCGAUCCUGAUGUUCUCGGAUGGAUUUGAGUAAGAGCGUAGGGCCUCGGACCCGAAAGAUGGUGAACUAUACGUGAAUAGGGUGAAGCCAGAGGAAACUCUGGUGGAGGCUCGCAGCGGUUCUGACGUGCAAAUCGAUCGUCAAAUUUGCGUAUGGGGGCGAAAGACUAAUCGAACCAU
This 845-nucleotide ribosomal RNA is filed under the name Thozetella pandanicola. RNAcentral describes it as "partial large subunit ribosomal RNA". It matches the Rfam family "Eukaryotic large subunit ribosomal RNA", at positions 65 to 943 of the family's 3401-position model. Lineage: Eukaryota; Fungi; Ascomycota; Sordariomycetes; Chaetosphaeriales; Chaetosphaeriaceae. The record is from RNAcentral.